Molecule: non-coding RNA, 1045 nt
Organism: Microcebus murinus (gray mouse lemur)
Lineage: Eukaryota; Metazoa; Chordata; Mammalia; Primates; Cheirogaleidae
Source: RefSeq, a predicted model, not a curated record
CUAAGCCAUCAGGUGAAGAAGUUUGACUACCCUGAGGCUGCUGUGCAGGGAAGGUCACAUGUGGUCAUUGUAACCAGCCGUGAUGGUUGAGCUCACCCUGCAAGACUUCCCCACCAAGGUGCCAGGCACAUGAGUGACAACAUCUUCUUGGAAGUGGCUGUUGCAGCUCCAGCUGUUCAGUCCCACCCGUUAGAGUCACCCCAGUCUCUCCAGGCCUGAUCUUCCAUAAGAAGAGACUUGAUCACAUGGGAAGACCUAUAACAACAGAGCUACAAAAGUGUUUCCCAACUGAGAUCACCAAUGGGCAGCUUAGAUACCAGAGCCCUCCGUGGGAGUGAAACUUAAGAAGGGCACAGGGAGGCCACUGGCAAACUGAGCAGUCAGUAGUAUUGAACAAGGAAGAACUGCAUUUACUGUUAGUCCAAAGGAGAGAGGACAGCAUGGAGAGGAGGCAUAGAGCCAGCACAUCCAGUUAACCAGGAUAAAUGAUUAAAAAGAACUUUGUAAAAAUGCUGAACUAAAUUCGCUAUCACCAAAUAUGGGAAUCUCUGAUGCCAGCUAUCUUGCUCAUGUGAAAUGCAAUGACAAGAUCCAAAUUGCGAGAAAAGGAAUCCAACUUGGUUGGGAUAGGAGAGACAAAACAAAAACAAAGAAUCUUUGGCAUACGAAUCAUUCCUGUUUGGAAAUAUUUCUAAAGAUUGAAGUUAGGCCAAUAGUGCACCUAACAGCACAAUUUGCAGGCUGCCAAUGAACAGCGAUGGAACUAAAUCCAGCAGCUCAAAGUGGGAGAAAAUUGAACGGGCAGAGUCUACCUUCUGAAGAUGUUCCUCUUAUCGCAGCUUCCUGAGACAUUCCAGGAUGAUGAAUUCCAAAUUAUGUACAGCCAUAGGAAGAAAAAUAUUUGGCCAGCUGUGGACAUUAGAUUUACUUAUCUGCAACCUAUUUCCAGCUUUGGAACAAUUUCUGCUUCUACCUUAAAACUCACCACAGCCCAGGAGUUUAAGACUCUUAUAUGAAAGUGUCUUAGGAUAGUAUAUUUUUUGAA